Molecule: ribosomal RNA, 450 nt
Filed under: uncultured bacterium
Lineage: Bacteria
Description: partial 16S ribosomal RNA
Rfam family: Bacterial small subunit ribosomal RNA
Source: RNAcentral
GUGGGGAAUAUUGGACAAUGGGCGAAAGCCUGAUCCAGCCAUGCCGCGUGUGUGAAGAAGGUCUUCGGAUUGUAAAGCACUUUAAGUUGGGAGGAAGGGCAGUAAGUUAAUACCUUGCUGUUUUGACGUUACCAACAGAAUAAGCACCGGCUAACUUCGUGCCAGCAGCCGCGGUAAUACGAAGGGUGCAAGCGUUAAUCGGAAUUACUGGGCGUAAAGCGCGCGUAGGUGGUUCAGCAAGUUGGAGGUGAAAGCCCCGGGCUCAACCUGGGAACUGCCUCCAAAACUACUGAGCUAGAGUACGGUAGAGGGUAGUGGAAUUUCCUGUGUAGCGGUGAAAUGCGUAGAUAUAGGAAGGAACACCAGUGGCGAAGGCGACUACCUGGACUGAUACUGACACUGAGGUGCGAAAGCGUGGGGAGCAAACAGGAUUAGAAACCCUGGUAGUCC